This 483-nucleotide ribosomal RNA is filed under the name uncultured bacterium. Its description in RNAcentral is "bacterial SSU rRNA". It matches the Rfam family "Bacterial small subunit ribosomal RNA", at positions 28 to 482 of the family's 1533-position model. The record is from RNAcentral.
GAUAAACGCUGGCGGCGCACAUAAGACAUGCAAGUCGAACGGAAGUCGUUUUAGUGAGUUUGAGAUGAAAGAUUUAUCCGGAUUCAAAGAUGAACUAAAACAAUGGCUUUAGUGGCGGACUGGUGAGUAACACGUAAGCAACCUGCCUGUUAGAGGGGAAUAACAGCGAGAAAUCGUUGCUAAUACCGCAUAUGCCAUAAGAACCGCAUGGUUCAAGUGGGAAAGGAGCAAUCCGCUAACAGAUGGGCUUGCGUCUGAUUAGUUAGUUGGUGGGGUAACGGCCUACCAAGACCGCGAUCAGUAGCCGGACUGAGAGGUUCAACGGCCACAUUGGGACUGAGAUACGGCCCAGACUCCUACGGGAGGCAGCAGUCGGGAAUAUUGCGCAAUGGAGGAAACUCUGACGCAGUGACGCCGCGUAUAGGAAGAAGGUUUUCGGAUUGUAAACUAUUAGUCUGCAGGGAAGAAACAGACUGUACCUGC